RNAcentral lists this ribosomal RNA (253 nucleotides) under uncultured bacterium. RNAcentral describes it as "partial 16S ribosomal RNA". It matches the Rfam family "Bacterial small subunit ribosomal RNA", at positions 524 to 776 of the family's 1533-position model. The record is from RNAcentral.
UACGAAGGCCCCUAGCGUUAUCCGGAUUUAUUGGGCGUAAAGGGUCUGUAGGCGGUUUAUUACAUCUCCUGUUAAAUCCCAAGGCUUAACCUUGGAACCGCGGGAGAGAUGGGUAGACUAGAGGCCGGUAGAGGCAAGCGGAAUUGUCGGUGUAGGGGUUAAAUCCGUUAAUAUCGACAGGAACACCAAAUGCGAAGGCAGCUUGCUAGAACGAGCCUGACGCUAAAAGACGAAAGCGUGGGUAGCGAAUGGG